AUUGAACGCUGGCGGCAGGCCUAACACAUGCAAGUCGAGCGGUAACAGAAAGUAGCUUGCUACUUUGCUGACGAGCGGCGGACGGGUGAGUAAUGCUUGGGAACAUGCCUUGAGGUGGGGGACAACAGUUGGAAACGACUGCUAAUACCGCAUAAUGUCUACGGACCAAAGGGGGCUUCGGCUCUCGCCUUUAGAUUGGCCCAAGUGGGAUUAGCUAGUUGGUGAGGUAAUGGCUCACCAAGGCAACGAUCCCUAGCUGGUUUGAGAGGAUGAUCAGCCACACUGGAACUGAGACACGGUCCAGACUCCUACGGGAGGCAGCAGUGGGGAAUAUUGCACAAUGGGCGAAAGCCUGAUGCAGCCAUGCCGCGUGUGUGAAGAAGGCCUUCGGGUUGUAAAGCACUUUCAGUCAGGAGGAAAGGGUGUGAGUUAAUACCUCAUAUCUGUGACGUUACUGACAGAAGAAGCACCGGCUAACUCCGUGCCAGCAGCCGCGGUAAUACGGAGGGUGCGAGCGUUAAUCGGAAUUACUGGGCGUAAAGCGUACGCAGGCGGUUUGUUAAGCGAGAUGUGAAAGCCCCGGGCUCAACCUGGGAACUGCAUUUCGAACUGGCAAACUAGAGUGUGAUAGAGGGUGGUAGAAUUUCAGGUGUAGCGGUGAAAUGCGUAGAGAUCUGAAGGAAUACCGAUGGCGAAGGCAGCCACCUG
This 708-nucleotide ribosomal RNA is filed under the name bacterium IMCC4666. RNAcentral describes it as "bacterial SSU rRNA". It matches the Rfam family "Bacterial small subunit ribosomal RNA", at positions 28 to 731 of the family's 1533-position model. The record is from RNAcentral.